AGGGGUAUAGCUUAAUGGUAGAGCACAUGCUUAGCAUGAAGGAGGCCCUGAGUUCAAUCCCCAGUACCUCUG
RNAcentral lists this transfer RNA (72 nucleotides) under Camelus bactrianus (Bactrian camel). It matches the Rfam family "tRNA". Rfam says of the family: Transfer RNA (tRNA) molecules are approximately 80 nucleotides in length. Their secondary structure includes four short double-helical elements and three loops (D, anti-codon, and T loops). Further hydrogen bonds mediate the characteristic L-shaped molecular structure. tRNAs have two regions of fundamental functional importance: the anti-codon, which is responsible for specific mRNA codon recognition, and the 3' end, to which the tRNAs corresponding amino acid is attached (by aminoacyl-tRNA synthetases). tRNAs cope with the degeneracy of the genetic code in two manners: having more than one tRNA (with a specific anti-codon) for a particular amino acid; and 'wobble' base-pairing, i.e. permitting non-standard base-pairing at the 3rd anti-codon position. RNAcentral also lists the same sequence under 3 other names. The record is from Rfam by way of RNAcentral. Lineage: Eukaryota; Metazoa; Chordata; Mammalia; Artiodactyla; Camelidae.